This 506-nucleotide long non-coding RNA is filed under the name Daucus carota (carrot). Its description in RNAcentral is "long non-coding RNA (DCAR_LNC006885)". The record is from RNAcentral. Lineage: Eukaryota; Viridiplantae; Streptophyta; Magnoliopsida; Apiales; Apiaceae.
CUGAAAUAAAACCUUGUGUGUUCAAUCUUUAUACAUGCAUAUCAUAUGCUGCACAUCAAUACUUCUCAUUCUUUGUAACAUACAUAGGGAAGCAAUCUUCAUCCAGCAAGCACAUUAAUCAUAAUUUUCCUGAACAUAUUUUUUCCGAUCCUUUUUUGAAAGCUUCACCAGCCACAUCUAUCUUCUUGAAAGUUUUCAUGAUCAUGUUAAUUGGAUACAGAUGUCAUAUACUCGUGGAUCUUUCCCACCACAGAUCUGUCAAGCGGGCUUCCGGCCUUUGUUUUGUGAAUGUUUGAUGACUGAUAUGACCUGCCUGUAUCAUCAAAAGUCCUGUCAUAUACUCAUGGACUGGAUGAGAUGACCCUGACUUGACAAGUCCAGGUUUUGAAGCAGCGCCCCUACCUUGAGAAUUACUGUUUAUUACAAGACGCACUUUCAGUUGGGGCUCUUGGUGUGUGGGUACACUAACAGCACUGCCUUCAACUUCACUAGUCUGAGAAUGUGGC